GACGAACGCUGGCGGCGUGCUUAACACAUGCAAGUCGAACGGAAAGGCCCUGCUUUUGUGGGGUGCUCGAGUGGCGAACGGGUGAGUAACACGUGGGUAACCUGCCCUUGACUUUGGGAUAACUUCAGGAAACUGGGGCUAAUACCGGAUAGGAGCUCCUGCUGCAUGGUGGGGGUUGGAAAGUUUCGGCGGUUGGGGAUGGACUCGCGGCUUAUCAGCUUGUUGGUGGGGUAGUGGCUUACCAAGGCUUCGACGGGUAGCCGGCCUGAGAGGGUGACCGGCGACAAUGGGACUGAGAGACGGCCCAGACGCCUACGGGAGGCAGCAGGGGGGAAUAUGGCACAAUGGGCGGAAGCCUGAGGCAGCAACGCCGCGUGCGGGAUGACGGCCUUCGGGUUGUAAACCGCUUUGGCCUGUGACGAAGCGUGAGUGACGGUAAUGGGUAAAGAAGCACCGGCUAACUACGUG
RNAcentral lists this ribosomal RNA (468 nucleotides) under uncultured bacterium. Its description in RNAcentral is "partial 16S ribosomal RNA". It matches the Rfam family "Bacterial small subunit ribosomal RNA", at positions 28 to 507 of the family's 1533-position model. The record is from RNAcentral.